AGGAUGAACGCUGGCGGCGUGCCUAAUACAUGCAAGUCGAGCGAACUGAUUAGAAGCUUGCUUCUAUGACGUUAGCGGCGGACGGGUGAGUAACACGUGGGCAACCUGCCUGUAAGACUGGGAUAACUUCGGGAAACCGAAGCUAAUACCGGAUAGGAUCUUCUCCUUCAUGGGAGAUGAUUGAAAGAUGGUUUCGGCUAUCACUUACAGAUGGGCCCGCGGUGCAUUAGCUAGUUGGUGAGGUAACGGCUCACCAAGGCAACGAUGCAUAGCCGACCUGAGAGGGUGAUCGGCCACACUGGGACUGAGACACGGCCCAGACUCCUACGGGAGGCAGCAGUAGGGAAUCUUCCGCAAUGGACGAAAGUCUGACGGAGCAACGCCGCGUGAGUGAUGAAGGCUUUCGGGUCGUAAAACUCUGUUGUUAGGGAAGAACAAGUACGAGAGUAACUGCUCGUACCUUGACGGUACCUAACCAGAAAGCCACGGCUAACUACGUGCCAGCAGCCGCGGUAAUACGUAGGUGGCAAGCGUUAUCCGGAAUUAUUGGGCGUAAAGCGCGCGCAGGCGGUUUCUUAAGUCUGAUGUGAAAGCCCACGGCUCAACCGUGGAGGGUCAUUGGAAACUGGGGAACUUGAGUGCAGAAGAGAAAAGCGGAAUUCCACGUGUAGCGGUGAAAUGCGUAGAGAUGUGGAGGAACACCAGUGGCGAAGGCGGC
Molecule: ribosomal RNA, 718 nt
Filed under: Bacillus sp. (in: firmicutes)
Lineage: Bacteria; Bacillati; Bacillota; Bacilli; Caryophanales; Bacillaceae
Description: bacterial SSU rRNA
Rfam family: Bacterial small subunit ribosomal RNA
Source: RNAcentral